This 498-nucleotide ribosomal RNA is filed under the name uncultured bacterium. RNAcentral's name for it is "partial 16S ribosomal RNA". It matches the Rfam family "Bacterial small subunit ribosomal RNA", at positions 28 to 523 of the family's 1533-position model. The record is from RNAcentral.
GAUGGACGCUAGCGGCAGGCCUAAUACAUGCAAGUCGAACGAUAUCAUGCAGCUUGCUGGAUGAGAAAGUGGCGCACGGGUGCGUAACGCGUAUGCAACCUACCUUUAUCAGGGGGAUAGCCCGGAGAAAUCCGGAUUAAUACCGCAUAAAAUCACAGGAUGGCAUUAUCCAAUGAUCAAACAUAUAUGGGAUAAAGAUGGGCAUGCGUGUCAUUAGCUAGUUGGCGGGGUAACGGCCCACCAAGGCGACGAUGACUAGGGGAUCUGAGAGGAUGGCCCCCCACACUGGUACUGAGACACGGACCAGACUCCUACGGGAGGCAGCAGUAAGGAAUAUUGGUCAAUGGGCGGAAGCCUGAACCAGCCAUGCCGCGUGCAGGAAGACUGCCCUAUGGGUUGUAAACUGCUUUUAUCCGGGAAUAAACCUGCUUACGUGUAAGUAGCUGAAUGUACCGGAAGAAUAAGGAUCGGCUAACUACGUGCCAGCCGCCGCAGUAA